UUUAUGCUGCCAAUGAAGAAAUGAGCACGCGAACACUGGCAGGAGUGAGCAGGCUUCUCUGGGACGUGUGAGUCUGCUAUAAAACUGCAGACAUUCACAGUCACACAGCAAACUUUCUCAUACACACCAGGGUGACUACGUGGAAGCUGUCUUGGUCAGAGCUGAGGAAGUGCAAUGCUACUUGUCCAGAUUCAGGCUGACUCCUAUGGUACUGCUUAAGCACUGUGAGCAUGCAUCUCCUUGUGCUCCCGGUUAGAAGAUGGUGUACUAAGUUGGGUGCCUGAACUGAGCUGUCCCAGCUCACUGUGGAUCUAUGCACCAAGUCCUCCAAAACAUUAAAACAUUGGGAAAAAUAGUGAUGGGACCCUGCAGAGGCCAGCUGCACCUGAUGAGGCUGAUAGAGAGAUGAAUUCUACACCUUUACUGGAAGCCUCCUCUGUGGGGCACGGUGUCAGCACUGCUAGUCCUGCUAGGACACAUACAGGAUCUGUAUGAGGAUGUAAUUCUUCAUUUUCCUUAACUUGUCUACUAGAUCCUGAGCUGUCUCCUCAUCUUUGUACAUGCUUAUGCUCUAAUGAUUUUUUUAAAAAUGUUACAAAUCUGUGAUGUUAUUAGAAAUGCAGAUGAUGUUACGCUUAUUAAAUGCUUAUUCAUUCUUUAAUGAUGCUAAGGUAGAAUUAUCAAAUUAUAUUAAUUUUAUUUAUUGCUAAUUUUUUAGCUGUGGCACCACCUUGUGGACAUUACUAGAUGAAAUGAAAAGUUUAUUAAUGUAAAUAACAGCAUCUAAAACAGAACAAUCAUUUGGAAAAAAAUAUAUUCACAUACGUUUUGCUAAAGCAGAGUAAAAUAAUUACAAAUUUCAUUCCUAAAAAUCCAGCUAUGAAAUAUAUAAAAAAA
Molecule: long non-coding RNA, 897 nt
Organism: Oxyura jamaicensis (ruddy duck)
Lineage: Eukaryota; Metazoa; Chordata; Aves; Anseriformes; Anatidae
Exons: 2
Source: RefSeq, a predicted model, not a curated record